RNAcentral lists this small nucleolar RNA (124 nucleotides) under Castor canadensis (American beaver). RNAcentral describes it as "Small nucleolar RNA SNORA40 (ENSCCNG00000013505.1)". It matches the Rfam family "Small nucleolar RNA SNORA40". Rfam says of the family: The snoRNA ACA 40 belongs to the H/ACA family of snoRNAs and guides the pseudouridylation of 28S rRNA subunit at position U4565. NB This family has a high threshold value to exclude a large number of closely related sequences that do not appear to have conserved H and ACA boxes, and may be pseudogenes. The record is from Rfam by way of RNAcentral. Lineage: Eukaryota; Metazoa; Chordata; Mammalia; Rodentia; Castoridae.
GAUAUUAGUCCUUAUCUCUGUUUAAUUGUGGACAAAGAUUUACAGACAGGCGCAAAAACUAAAUCCUCCUUCACAGCCCAGAGCCCAUUGCUCAGUAUCAGUUGUGAUACAUAUAAGGAACAUG